Long non-coding RNA from Rhododendron vialii, 374 nucleotides. RefSeq lists it as uncharacterized. Lineage: Eukaryota; Viridiplantae; Streptophyta; Magnoliopsida; Ericales; Ericaceae. The record is from RefSeq and is a predicted model, not a curated record. The transcript has 3 exons.
AUUCUUAUUCGGCCCAUAGCUUUGCCUUCAUUCGACUUGCGACAAAAGGUGUGUGGUGAACCAGAGGGGUUAUAUACCAGCUGAGACAUCUUAGCUUGGUUGGUGACCAAGAACGAGAACUAGUGGGCAUUAUGAUCAUCAAGUGCGGUGACGAAAUAUAAAAUUUUGUUUACAACUUCUCAUUCAACGAUCAUCUCACUGUCUGCCAUUCAAAACUCGAGUUUCCUAUUCAUUUUAUGCUUGCGACAAGAGGUGCGUAGUGCCCCGGAGGCCUAGAGUACUAAGACAUCCUAGCUUGGUCGGAGAACUGGGAAAAGAUCCCACCAAUAUGCCUAAAGAUUGGCUGAUAUCAUUAAUCAACCAUAUAUGGGAUA